This 392-nucleotide ribosomal RNA is filed under the name uncultured bacterium. RNAcentral describes it as "partial 16S ribosomal RNA". It matches the Rfam family "Bacterial small subunit ribosomal RNA", at positions 523 to 918 of the family's 1533-position model. The record is from RNAcentral.
AUACGGAGGAUCCGAGCGUUAUCCGGAUUUAUUGGGUUUAAAGGGUGCGCAGGCGGCCAUUUAAGUCAGCGGUUAAAUCGUGGGGCUCAACCCCAUUCUGCCGUUGAUACUGGGUGGCUUGAUUGCGGUCGAGGUUGGCGGAAUUCGUUGUGUAGCGGUGAAAUGCAUAGAUAUGACGAAGAACACCGAUUGCGUAGGCAGCUGACCAGAACGCAAAUGACGCUCAUGCACGAAAGUGCGGGGAUCGAACAGGAUUAGAUUCCCUGGUAGUCCGCACAGUAAACGAUGAAUACUUGUUUUCGGCGAUAUAAUGUCGGAGGCAAAGCGAAAGCGAUAAGUAUUCCACCUGGGGAGUACGCCGGCAACGGUGAAACUCAAAGGAAUUGACGGGG